GACGAACGCUGGCGGCGUGCUUAACACAUGCAAGUCGAGCGGUAAGGCCCUUUCGGGGGUACACGAGCGGCGAACGGGUGAGUAACACGUGGGUGACCUGCCCUCAGCUCUGGGAUAAGCCUGGGAAACCGGGUCUAAUACUGGAUAUGACUCCAUGACGCAUGUUGUGGGGUGGAAAGCCUUGUGCGGCUGAGGAUGGGCCCGCGGCCUAUCAGCUUGUUGGGGGGGUGA
This 231-nucleotide ribosomal RNA is filed under the name uncultured bacterium. Its description in RNAcentral is "partial 16S ribosomal RNA". It matches the Rfam family "Bacterial small subunit ribosomal RNA", at positions 28 to 260 of the family's 1533-position model. The record is from RNAcentral.